Molecule: RNase P RNA, 294 nt
Filed under: Zetaproteobacteria bacterium
Lineage: Bacteria; Pseudomonadati; Pseudomonadota; Candidatius Mariprofundia
Description: partial RNase P RNA component class A
Rfam family: Bacterial RNase P class A
About the family: Ribonuclease P (RNase P) is a ubiquitous endoribonuclease, found in archaea, bacteria and eukarya as well as chloroplasts and mitochondria.
Source: RNAcentral
GUCCAGUGGGGGCAACCCUAGGAAAGUGCCACAGAGACUAGACCGCCAUGUGUUGACACAAGGUAAGGGUGAAAGGGUGCGGUAAGAGCGCACCGCUUGGUUUGGUGACAAAACAAGGCUUAGGUAAACCCCAUUCGCAGCAAGACCAAAUAGGAAGUCAGAUGGUGCUGCUCGCACUUGGCUUCGGGUAGGUUGCUUGAGGCUGCUGGCAACAGUAUGCCCAGAUGAAUGAUCAUCGCUUUUGUUUGGUAACAAGCAAAGGAACAGAACCCGGCUUAUAGAGCCACUUCGCAA